AAAGUCGUAACAAGGUCUCCGUAGGUGAACCUGCGGAGGGAUCAUUAAUGAAUGGCCUCGUGGCCUUCAACCCCCUCAAGUCCUGUGGAAGCAAGAUGUGCUUCGGCGCCCCGGCGCCGUUUUUAUGCCGAAAUCAGCUUUGUGUCUGAAUAUGAAAACAGAAUUGAAAACUUUCAACAAAGGAUCUCUUGGCUCUC
Molecule: unclassified non-coding RNA, 197 nt
Filed under: Ascomycota sp.
Lineage: Eukaryota; Fungi; Ascomycota
Description: partial contains small subunit ribosomal RNA, internal transcribed spacer 1, and 5.8S ribosomal RNA
Rfam family: Eukaryotic small subunit ribosomal RNA (bases 1-47)
Source: RNAcentral